Apis dorsata (giant honeybee) is the source of this 1084-nucleotide long non-coding RNA. RefSeq lists it as uncharacterized. The record is from RefSeq and is a predicted model, not a curated record. The transcript has 3 exons. NCBI's taxonomy places the organism in Eukaryota, Metazoa, Arthropoda, Insecta, Hymenoptera, Apidae.
GGUUAGAAAAUUUUUCGUCGAUGCUUUCGUACAUGAUCACUGUUAUUAUCGCUUAUCGUUCACUUACGCGAUCACGACGAACAAUACGGGAUGUUAUAACGUGAUAUUAUGCUAAUCUCACCAUUAUUUGCGUACAAAAAUGUACAAAUAAUAUGAAUAAUGUGUUAUAAAAAUUCCGACGUGGUCCUCUCUCGGUGACACGAAAUUUUACUGAAUGUGCAGAAGACUACUGCGCAUCAGGUUGAAGUUGAACGCUCUGCGCAUGGGAACGCGCAGGAAAUUCGCGGGAUACGUCGUCGAGACGGGACAGCAUCAGUAUUGGUACGUAAUUUUUGAUCGAAAUAAUUCAAUUAAUUGAAGUAUGUGGACAUUUCGUGAUUUAUUUUGUGAUUCUUUUAGUGAUACGUGAUACAGAGACUCAGAAUCGUGAUAAAGUUUCGGAAUAUAACGUCGGAAAAGGACAAUACGUGUUCGUGAAUCAUCGUUCUCUGCGAAGAGCUCGAAUAGAAGAAUUGCGUCAUUCGCGUUCGAACGAAAAUAAAUAGAAGAAAGGUCAGGAGCAGCUUAAUUGUGGCGUAUAUUUUCAUUGCCUGGGGCUUCGAUUCUUCGUAAUACGAAUACAACGUACAGAUCCUCCUCUCACAAAAAUCGAACAAAGGAAAGAAGAAAAGAAAACCCUCGUAUCGUCAUACUUUGGCUGGCAACCCCUCGCGUUUCAACGCAUCGAGCGCACGCAGAAGAAAUCGUCCCUUCCUCUUCCGUCCCGCUUCGCCGUCGGUUGGCAAUCGCUCAUUCGGGAUCACGAAGCUGAUUGAGAUCGCCAGAGAUCAUUUACCGGUCGACCUGUUCCGGGCCUGGACUAAUCAGAUCAAUCAGAUGGAAUGAUCGCGAAAUGAGUUCGGGAUCAUUAUCCUCCACGAAGAAUGCUUUCUCCUUCGAUCUUUCGCGUUUGUCUUGCUCGUGACGGGUCCCCCUUGAUCGGAAAUCGAAUCGUGAAAUCGAUCCAUUCUGCUGCGCGAGCAAUUCACUUGGUCAUCUCGGUCAUCGUUGCAAAAGGGAAUUAUUAUCGGUGCUAUGUAUAUAU